Molecule: ribosomal RNA, 260 nt
Filed under: uncultured bacterium
Lineage: Bacteria
Description: partial 16S ribosomal RNA
Rfam family: Bacterial small subunit ribosomal RNA
Source: RNAcentral
AGUGGCGGACGGGUGAGUAACGCGUGGAUAACCUGCCUCAUACAGGGGGAUAACAGUUGGAAACGGCUGUUAAUACCGCAUAAGCGCACGAAAUCGCAUGGUUUUGUGUGAAAAACUCCGGUGGUAUGAGAUGGGUCCGCGUCUGAUUAGCUAGUUGGCAGGGUAACGGCCUACCAAGGCGACGAUCAGUAGCCGGCCUGAGAGGGUGUACGGCCACAUUGGGACUGAGACACGGCCCAAACUCCUACGGGAGGCAGCAG